ACGGGUGAGUAACGCGUGGGUAACCUACCCUGUACACACGGAUAACAUACCGAAAGGUAUGCUAAUACGGGAUAAUAUAUUUGAGAGGCAUCUCUUAAAUAUCAAAGGUGAGCCAGUACAGGAUGGACCCGCGUCUGAUUAGCUAGUUGGUAAGGUAACGGCUUACCAAGGCGACGAUCAGUAGCCGACCUGAGAGGGUGAUCGGCCACAUUGGAACUGAGACACGGUCCAAACUCCUACGGGAGGCAGCAGUGGGGAAUAUUGCACAAUGGGCGAAAGCCUGAUGCAGCAACGCCGCGUGAGUGAUGAAGGCCUUCGGGUCGUAAAACUCUGUCCUCAAGGAAGAUAAUGACGGUACUUGAGGAGGAAGCCCCGGCUAACUACGUGCCAGCAGCCGCGGUAAUACGUAGGGGGCUAGCGUUAUCCGGAUUUACUGGGCGUAAAGGGUGCGUAGGCGGUCUUUCAAGUCAGGAGUGAAAGGCUACGGCUCAACCGUAGUAAGCUCUUGAAACUGGGAGACUUGAGUGCAGGAGAGGAGAGUGGAAUUCCUAGUGUAGCGGUGAAAUGCGUAGAUAUUAGGAGGAACACCAGUUGCGAAGGCGGCUCUCUGGACUGUAACUGACGCUGAGGCACGAAAGCGUGGGGAGCAAACAGGAUUAGAUACCCUGGUAGUCCACGCUGUAAAC
Molecule: ribosomal RNA, 686 nt
Filed under: uncultured bacterium
Lineage: Bacteria
Description: bacterial SSU rRNA
Rfam family: Bacterial small subunit ribosomal RNA
Source: RNAcentral